UACAGAGGUCUCAAGCGUUGUUCGGAUUCAUUGGGCGUAAAGGGUGCGUAGGUGGUGGGGUAAGUCGGAUGUGAAAUCCCGGGGCUCAACCCCGGAACUGCAUUGGAUACUGCCUUGCUAGAGUACUGGAGAGGGAACUGGAAUUUACGGUGUAGCAGUGAAAUGCGUAGAGAUCGUAAGGAAGGCCAGUGGCGAAGGCGAGUUCCUGGACAGUUACUGACGCUGAGGCACGAAGGCCAGGGGAGCAAACGGG
RNAcentral lists this ribosomal RNA (253 nucleotides) under uncultured bacterium. Its description in RNAcentral is "partial 16S ribosomal RNA". It matches the Rfam family "Bacterial small subunit ribosomal RNA", at positions 524 to 776 of the family's 1533-position model. The record is from RNAcentral.